This 433-nucleotide ribosomal RNA is filed under the name uncultured bacterium. RNAcentral's name for it is "partial 16S ribosomal RNA". It matches the Rfam family "Bacterial small subunit ribosomal RNA", at positions 29 to 507 of the family's 1533-position model. The record is from RNAcentral.
AACGAGCGCUGGCGGCAUGCCUAACACAUGCAAGUCGAACGAGACCUUCGGGUCUAGUGGCGCACGGGUGCGUAACGCGUGGGAACCUUCCCUUAGGUUUGGAAUAACUCCCCGACAGGGGUGCUAAUACCGGAUAAUGUCUUCGGACCAAAGAUUUAUCGCCUUUGGAUGGGCCCGCGUUGGAUUAGCUAGUUGGUAGGGUAAAAGCCUACCAAGGCGACGAUACAUAGCUGGUCUGAGAGGAUGAUCAGCGACACUGGGACUAAGACACGGCCCAGACUCCUACGGGAGGCAGCAGUGGGGAAUAUUGGACAAUGGGCGAAAGCAUGAUCCAGCAAGGCCGCGUGAGUGAUGAAGGCCGUAGGGUUGUAAAGCUCUUUUACCCGGGAUGAUAAUGACAGUACCGGGAGAAUAAGCUCCGGCUAACUCCGUG